UAUAAAUCUCUUAAAAAUGCUUCUAAUAGUAUAUUAAAACAUACACCCUUUUCCUUUGAUAAUGCAUUGGUAUAAAAUUUUGUACCCACAUCAUCUUCUAAAUCAAUCAUCUUUUCUUCAUCAUUAUACCUUGCUCUCGAUAACAUAUCUACAACUGAAUUUUCUUUCCCUGUAAUAUGUUUAAAUUCAGGAUUCAUAGAUUUGAUAUAUACUAUCCACCUCAAUAUAGCAAUAUCAAGAGUUGAACAACUUAUAAUC
This 258-nucleotide long non-coding RNA is filed under the name Physcomitrium patens. RNAcentral describes it as "long non-coding RNA (PPAT_LNC012010)". The record is from RNAcentral. Lineage: Eukaryota; Viridiplantae; Streptophyta; Bryopsida; Funariales; Funariaceae.